This 65-nucleotide transfer RNA is filed under the name Cnemaspis shahruli. RNAcentral describes it as "tRNA-Trp". The record is from RNAcentral. Lineage: Eukaryota; Metazoa; Chordata; Lepidosauria; Squamata; Gekkonidae.
AAAUUUAGGCUAUUCAAACCAAGGGCCUUCAAAGCCCUAAAAAAGAGACCACCCUCUUAAUUUCU